This 263-nucleotide long non-coding RNA is filed under the name Mytilus galloprovincialis (Mediterranean mussel). Lineage: Eukaryota; Metazoa; Mollusca; Bivalvia; Mytilida; Mytilidae. The record is from RNAcentral.
CAAUUAAUCAAAAGUUUCUAAAAUAUCGAACAUUUUGUAUGUUUUCCCCAUUUACAGGUUCCAUUUCUUAUGGCACCCUCAACGGAGUUGGGGUGACGUAUUGUUAUUCUACGUUUCUUUUUUUUUCUUAUUAUUUUUCUUGCACAAAAUUUUGUCCGCGCGAGAUCUUGGAAUCCAAUGGACCAAUGUUGAUGGAACUCUACUAUAACGAAGACACCCAUGUGAAGUUGUGCACCUUGCUAUGGAAUGGGAAAAAAUGGCCG